Oryza sativa Japonica Group (Japanese rice) is the source of this 119-nucleotide ribosomal RNA. The record is from Rfam. Lineage: Eukaryota; Viridiplantae; Streptophyta; Magnoliopsida; Poales; Poaceae.
GGAUGCAAUCAUACCAGCACUAAAGCACCGUAUCCCAUCAGAACUCCCAAGUUAAGCGUGCUUGGGCGAGAGUAGUACUAGGAUGGGUGACCUCCUGGGAAGUCCUCGUGUUGCAUCCC